UGUAGAAUUCUCACAAUUCUGUGCUGGAUGACUACAGUUGGUAGGCUACUCUCCUCUGGCUUCUGACAAGACAAGACUAGUUGACUAGGCUAGGCCCUUGGCCUAGGACUCUACGUCCAAGGAGUUUACAGUAAAAACUCCUUGCUUACGUCACAUCUCGGAAAUUUCUCCGACGCCAAAAGUUGUCAAAGACAAUGAACUAUCAGCUUGAUCUAAUUGACGCAGAUACAUUACUCCGUCUCUUUAGAUCUGAAUAAAUGUCACCGUAAUUUAAAGUACAAUCAGUUUAAGUUCCAGUUUUACAAGUCUUGUGCUCAAUGUGGCCACCACCGGCAGCAGCAACAACAUCAAGCCCAUACGAGAAUUCCUUCCAAAAGCGCCUCAGAAUGUCUCAGUCCACCCUAGAUGGUAGUUGUAUUCGAUCUUUCACGUCAUUGAUAUUUGCUGGAAGUGGUGGAACAUAAACUCUGUCUUGUAACUUGUAACACACAUCGACAAGAAGUGUCAAUUCACUUUACUGCGCGAAUGCUUUGAUUUUUCAACAAGAUGGAGCACCGCCCCCUUGGCAUCUUUGGGUUCCAGCUCAUCUGAAUGAAAACGUGUCUCAGCGGUGGAUUGGUACUACAGACCUCGCACUGCGGUUGGCUUGCCAGAUCCCUGGACCUCACUCAUGAGAGUUAUUUUUUGUGCGGGGGCAUAUUAAAGACAAAAGUUUAUGUUCCACCCAAGGACUACUAUACUCAAGGACGUGCACAGUCGGAUUCCUGACUUGGCUAGCGAAGGCCAUCGAGUCAAACACUCCGGAUAUUCCCAUACUGACUCAGUGCCUUAUCUUUAGCUUUGACUCGUUCGUAGGAAUCGGGGACUAUUUAUCUCCUUUGAAGUAGAAUGAAUCCUAUCUGUAAAAUUCGUUGAUCUUAAUAAAA
Aplysia californica (California sea hare) is the source of this 926-nucleotide long non-coding RNA. RefSeq lists it as uncharacterized. The record is from RefSeq and is a predicted model, not a curated record. The transcript is spliced from 2 exons. NCBI's taxonomy places the organism in Eukaryota, Metazoa, Mollusca, Gastropoda, Aplysiida, Aplysiidae.